RNAcentral lists this ribosomal RNA (480 nucleotides) under uncultured bacterium. Its description in RNAcentral is "bacterial SSU rRNA". It matches the Rfam family "Bacterial small subunit ribosomal RNA", at positions 40 to 509 of the family's 1533-position model. The record is from RNAcentral.
CGGAAUGCGUUUACACAUGCAAGUCGAGCGGCGAGCGCGGGCUUCGGGCCGUGGGCGGCGAGCGGCGAACGGGUGAGUAAUACGAUCGGAACGUGCCCAGGGUGUGGGGGAUAGCUCGGCGAAAGCCGAAUUAAUACCGCAUACGAUCUCCGGAUGAAAGUGGGGACCGCAAGGCCUCACGCACUUGGAGCGGCCGAUGGCAGAUUAGGUUGUUGGUGGGGUAAAGGCCUACCAAGCCUGCGAUCUGUAGCUGGUCUGAGAGGAUGAUCAGCCACACUGGGACUGAGACACGGCCCAGACUCCUACGGGAGGCAGCAGUGGGGAAUUUUGGACAAUGGGCGCAAGCCUGAUCCAGCCAUUCCGCGUGCAGGACGAAGGCCCCCGGGUUGUAAACUGCUUUUGUACAGAACGAAAAGGCUUCGGCCAAUACCUGAAGCUCAUGACGGUACUGUAAGAAUAAGCACCGGCUAACUACGUGCC